UUAUCUGCCCAGUGAUAAUUUUAAACGGCCGCAGUACCUUGACUGUGCAAAGGUAGCAUAAUCAUUUGACUUUUAAAUGGAGCCUAGAAUGAAAGAAAGAACGUAGACAACUUGUCUCAUUAAUAAUACCUUAAAAUUACCUCAUGAGUGAAAAUACUCUUGAAUUUAAUAUUAGACGAGAAGACCCUUAGAAUUUUAAUUAAAUAUAAGUCAAUCUUGUAAAUUUUUUUGUUGGGGCAACAGUAUUUCAUAGCGAAUAAAUAUUUCCUUGGCAGAUUAAUCGAUUUUAAUAAUUAUAGAGAAAUUACCUAAGGGAUAACAGCAUAAUUUUAAUAAUAAGCUUGUGACCUCGAUGUUGGACUAGGUACUAUUAGGGCUAAUCGUUUUAA
This 389-nucleotide ribosomal RNA is filed under the name Albinaria discolor. RNAcentral describes it as "partial 16S ribosomal RNA". Lineage: Eukaryota; Metazoa; Mollusca; Gastropoda; Stylommatophora; Clausiliidae. The record is from RNAcentral.